This 370-nucleotide ribosomal RNA is filed under the name uncultured bacterium. Its description in RNAcentral is "bacterial SSU rRNA". It matches the Rfam family "Bacterial small subunit ribosomal RNA", at positions 527 to 896 of the family's 1533-position model. The record is from RNAcentral.
GUAGGUCCCGAGCGUUGUCCGGAUUUAUUGGGCGUAAAGCGAGCGCAGGCGGUUUGAUAAGUCUGAAGUUAAAGGCUGUGGCUCAACCAUAGUUCGCUUUGGAAACAGUCAAACAUGAGUGCAGAAGGGGAGAGUGGAAUUCCAUGUGUAGCGGUGAAAUGCGUAGAUAUAUGGAGGAACACCGGUGGCGAAAGCGGCUCUCUGGUCUGUAACUGACGCUGAGGCUCGAAAGCGUGGGGAGCGAACAGGAUUAGAUACCCUGGUAGUCCACGCCGUAAACGAUGAGUGCUAGGUGUUGGAUCCUUUCCGGGAUCCAGUGCCGAAGCUAACGCAUUAAGCACUCCGCCUGGGGAGUACGACCGCAAGGUUG